RNAcentral lists this ribosomal RNA (457 nucleotides) under uncultured bacterium. Its description in RNAcentral is "bacterial SSU rRNA". It matches the Rfam family "Bacterial small subunit ribosomal RNA", at positions 335 to 783 of the family's 1533-position model. The record is from RNAcentral.
ACUCCUACGGGAGGCAGCAGUGGGGAAUAUUGCACAAUGGGCGCAAGCCUGAUGCAGCCAUGCCGCGUGUAUGAAGAAGGCCUUCGGGUUGUAAAGUACUUUCAGCAGUGAGGAAGGUGGAUAUGUUAAUAGCAUAUUCUAUUUGUACGUUAGCUGCAGAAGAAGCACCGGCUAACUCCGUGCCAGCAGCCGCGGUAAUACGGAGGGUGCGAGCGUUAAUCGGAAUUACUGGGCGUAAAGCGCAUGCAGGUGGUUUGUUAAGUCAGAUGUGAAAGCCCGGGGCUCAACCUCGGAAUUGCAUUUGAAACUGGCAAACUAGAGUACUGUAGAGGGGGUAGGAAUUUCAGGUGUAGCGGUGAAAUGCGUAGAGAUCUGAAGGAAUACCGGUGGCGAAGGCGGCCCCGUGGACAGAUACUGACACUCAGAUGCGAAAGCGUGGGAGCAAACAGGAUUAGAU